Molecule: ribosomal RNA, 465 nt
Filed under: Vreelandella stevensii
Lineage: Bacteria; Pseudomonadati; Pseudomonadota; Gammaproteobacteria; Oceanospirillales; Halomonadaceae
Description: partial 16S ribosomal RNA
Rfam family: Bacterial small subunit ribosomal RNA
Source: RNAcentral
CCUACGGGUGGCUGCAGUGGGGAAUAUUGGACAAUGGGGGGAACCCUGAUCCAGCCAUGCCGCGUGUGUGAAGAAGGCCCUCGGGUUGUAAAGCACUUUCAGUGAGGAAGAACGCCUGGUGGUUAAUACCCAUCAGGAAAGACAUCACUCACAGAAGAAGCACCGGCUAACUCCGUGCCAGCAGCCGCGGUAAUACGGAGGGUGCGAGCGUUAAUCGGAAUUACUGGGCGUAAAGCGCGCGUAGGUGGCUUGAUAAGCCGGUUGUGAAAGCCCCGGGCUCAACCUGGGAACGGCAUCCGGAACUGUUAAGCUAGAGUGCAGGAGAGGAAGGUAGAAUUCCCGGUGUAGCGGUGAAAUGCGUAGAGAUCGGGAGGAAUACCAGUGGCGAAGGCGGCCUUCUGGACUGACACUGACACUGAGGUGCGAAAGCGUGGGUAGCAAACAGGAUUAGAUACCCCUGUAGUC